UAAAGGAAGCGAUUCCGGCUACGGAUGGUCAUGCGUCGCAUUAGCUAGUUGGCGGGGUAACGGCCCACCAAGGCGACGAUGCGUAGGGGUUCUGAGAGGAAGGUCCCCCACACUGGUACUGAGACACGGACCAGACUCCUACGGGAGGCAGCAGUGAGGAAUAUUGGUCAAUGGCCGCAGGGCUGAACCAGCCAAGUCGCGUGAGGGAUGACGGUCCUAUGGAUUGUAAACCUCUUUUGUCAGGGAGCAAAGGACGCCACGUGUGGCGUUUUGCGAGCACCUGAAGAAAAAGCAUCGGCUAACUCCGUGCCAGCAGCCGCGGUAAUACGGAGGAUGCGAGCGUUAUCCGGAUUUAUUGGGUUUAAAGGGUGCGCAGGCGGAAUGUCAAGUCAGCGGUAAAAUUUCGGGGCUCAACCCCGUCGUGCCGUUGAAACUGGCGUUCUUGAGUGAGCGAGAAGUAUGCGGAAUGCGUGGUGUAGCGGUGAAAUGCAUAGAUAUCACGCAGAACUCCGAUUGCGAAGGCAGCAUACCGGCGCUCAACUGACGCUCAUGCACGAAAGCGUGGGUAUCGAACAGGAUUAGAUACCCUGGUAGUCCACGCAGUAAACGAUGAAUACUAACUGUCCGGGCCGAUUGAGGUCUGG
Molecule: ribosomal RNA, 644 nt
Filed under: uncultured bacterium
Lineage: Bacteria
Description: bacterial SSU rRNA
Rfam family: Bacterial small subunit ribosomal RNA
Source: RNAcentral